GAUGAACGCUGGCGGCGUGCCUAAUACAUGCAAGUCGAGCGAACAGACGAGGAGCUUGCUCCUCUGACGUUAGCGGCGGACGGGUGAGUAACACGUGGAUAACCUACCUAUAAGACUGGGAUAACUUCGGGAAACCGGAGCUAAUACCGGAUAAUAUAUUGAACCGCAUGGUUCAAUAGUGAAAGACGGUUUUGCUGUCACUUAUAGAUGGAUCCGCGCCGCAUUAGCUAGCUGGUAAGGUAACGGCUUACCAAGGCAACGAUGCGUAGCCGACCUGAGAGGGUGAUCGGCCACACUGGAACUGAGACACGGUCCAGACUCCUACGGGAGGCAGCAGUAGGGAAUCUUCCGCAAUGGGCGAAAGCCUGACGGAGCAACGCCGCGUGAGUGAUGAAGGUCUUCGGAUCGUAAAACUCUGUUAUUAGGGAAGAACAAAUGUGUAAGUAACUAUGCACGUCUUGACGGUACCUAAUCAGAAAGCCACGGCUAACUACGUG
Molecule: ribosomal RNA, 497 nt
Filed under: uncultured bacterium
Lineage: Bacteria
Description: partial 16S ribosomal RNA
Rfam family: Bacterial small subunit ribosomal RNA
Source: RNAcentral